Molecule: ribosomal RNA, 253 nt
Filed under: uncultured bacterium
Lineage: Bacteria
Description: partial 16S ribosomal RNA
Rfam family: Bacterial small subunit ribosomal RNA
Source: RNAcentral
UACGAAGGGGGCUAGCGUUGCUCGGAAUCACUGGGCGUAAAGGGUGCGUAGGCGGGUUUUUAAGUCAGGGGUGAAAUCCUGGAGCUCAACUCCAGAACUGCCUUUGAUACUGAAGAUCUUGAGUUCGGGAGAGGUGAGUGGAACUGCGAGUGUAGAGGUGAAAUUCGUAGAUAUUCGCAAGAACACCAGUGGCGAAGGCGGCUCACUGGCCCGAUACUGACACUCAGGUGCGACAGCGUGGGGAGCAAACAGG